This 253-nucleotide ribosomal RNA is filed under the name uncultured bacterium. Its description in RNAcentral is "partial 16S ribosomal RNA". It matches the Rfam family "Bacterial small subunit ribosomal RNA", at positions 524 to 776 of the family's 1533-position model. The record is from RNAcentral.
UACGAAGGGGGCUAGCGUUGCUCGGAAUCACUGGGCGUAAAGGGCGCGUAGGCGGCCAUUCAAGUCAGGGGUGAAAGCCUGUGGCUCAACCACAGAAUUGCCUUUGAUACUGUUUGGCUAGAGACCGGAAGAGGUAAGUGGAACUGCGAGUGUAGAGGUGAAAUUCGUAGAUAUCGGGAGGAACACCAGUGGCGAAGGCGGCGAUCUGGGAACAUACUGACGCUGAGGUGCGAAAGCGUGGGGAGCAAACAGG